RNAcentral lists this transfer RNA (71 nucleotides) under Plestiodon ochoterenae. RNAcentral describes it as "tRNA-Ile". It matches the Rfam family "tRNA". Rfam says of the family: Transfer RNA (tRNA) molecules are approximately 80 nucleotides in length. The record is from RNAcentral. Lineage: Eukaryota; Metazoa; Chordata; Lepidosauria; Squamata; Scincidae.
AAGGAAAUGUGCCUGAGAUAAGGACCACUUUGAUAGGGUGGAACACAGAGGUUAAAACCCCCUCAUUUCCC